Long non-coding RNA from Hibiscus syriacus, 577 nucleotides. RefSeq lists it as uncharacterized. The record is from RefSeq and is a predicted model, not a curated record. The transcript has 3 exons. NCBI's taxonomy places the organism in Eukaryota, Viridiplantae, Streptophyta, Magnoliopsida, Malvales, Malvaceae.
CUUUUGGGAGGAAGGAAUAGCGAUAAGUAUACAGUUUCAUGACCUUUUUCUUUCCUGUUCAGAAACUGAAUCGGAAGCUUUUGCAUAUAAGCAUUGAGCUAGUUUUCAUGCUUUGCUGGCCAUUAUUCAGUUCUGGGUUUCGUGGAGCAAUUUUAGUAGCUGUUACUCCUGGUAUCAACAUUAUGCGGAUGUUGUGACUGCACGAUUUCUCAUUGAGCUUUAUUGUUUUAGUAUGAUUUGUAUCCUAUUCUUUCACUUUUUUAAAUUUACUUUUACUGGUUACGCAUGAUUGUUGCAGUGGUGAAGAACUCUGAUAUCGCAUUUUUUAAUCUACUGGGGAAUGUGGCAGUUUUGACUGAAGGAAAUCUUUCAGAACUAAUUUACAACUUUCUUUGCUUUCUUAGUAAAAAAAAUUGUGGCAUGGGAAGGCACACAUUCCUCGUGCAUCCCAAGUCCGAGGACUAUCGAAGCUGGCUGCUUAUUCGAUAUCUAUCAUGGAUGGAAAACGUGCUCUACGGUUAUAUAUCAUUCAUGGAUGGCAUAACAAUGGGCUUUGGAGUUGGCCUAUCUGGUCUGG